GAGGAAUAGUGUGCCCAGGUCAAGUUCAGGGAAGAAGGACCACUUUACCAAUGCAGGACAUCCAGAGUUCCAGACAGGCAGUCCACCUUGGUGAGGAGGACAUGGUAACAAGCGGGGAAGGCAGGGAUACAAGAACAAGAUGAUGGUUGAUCAGAUCGCAUUCAAACACAGAAAAAUGAAACAGCACACUGUGAGACCUUGGAGCCCAUCCUGAUGAUACACUUCCUCCACCAAGACUCCACCUCCUAAGUUCCAUCACCAUCUCACACAGUGCCACCAGCCGGAGAUGUAGUGUUCCAACACACAUGCCCAUGGGGGCCAUCUCUCAUUCCAACCACACCUCUCAUCUUAGACUUUUUUUCAUGAGAUGUCUCUUCAGAUAUUUUGCCUGUUUCCCAUUUGUUUCUGUUUGCUUGCUUAGUUUUGCUUUGUAUAUCUCAUUCUUGAGUUCUGUAUUAAAGACAGUUUUGAAAAUCU
Molecule: long non-coding RNA, 477 nt
Filed under: Mus pahari (shrew mouse)
Lineage: Eukaryota; Metazoa; Chordata; Mammalia; Rodentia; Muridae
Description: lncRNA (MGP_PahariEiJ_G0006190.1)
Source: RNAcentral